GACGAACGCUGGCGGCGUGCUUAACACAUGCCAGUCGAACGGAAAGGCCCUGCUUUUGUGGGGUGCUCGAGUGGCGAACGGGUGAGUAACACGUGAGUAACCUGCCCUUGACUUUGGGAUAACUUCAGGAAACUGGGGCUAAUACCGGAUAGGAGCUCCUGCUGCAUGGUGGGGGUUGGAAAGUUUCGGCGGUUGGGGAUGGACUCGCGGCUUAUCAGCUUGUUGGUGGGGUAGUGGCUUACCAAGGCUUUGACGGGUAGCCGGCCUGAGAGGGUGACCGGCCACAUUGGGACUGAGAUACGGCCCAGACUCCUACGGGAGGCAGCAGUGGGGAAUAUUGCACAAUGGGCGGAAGCCUGAUGCAGCAACGCCGCGUGUGGGAUGACGGCCUUCGGGUUGUAAACCGCUUUCGCCUGUGACGAAGCGUGAGUGACGGUAAUGGGUAAAGAGGCACCGGCUAACUACGUG
RNAcentral lists this ribosomal RNA (468 nucleotides) under uncultured bacterium. RNAcentral's name for it is "partial 16S ribosomal RNA". It matches the Rfam family "Bacterial small subunit ribosomal RNA", at positions 28 to 507 of the family's 1533-position model. The record is from RNAcentral.